This 192-nucleotide unclassified non-coding RNA is filed under the name uncultured fungus. Its description in RNAcentral is "sequence contains ITS1, 5.8S rRNA gene". Lineage: Eukaryota; Fungi. The record is from RNAcentral.
AUGUGAUUGCCACUUGCCCCCAUUGGAGGCUGUGCGCAAGCUAUCCUUGUGUUAUGUGUAAAAAGUCGUGUGUGCAGUGCCCACACUUUUAGGGGAUACCCCCUACAUUUGUGUACGCUGCAUUCAUUUUUUUCAACCCAUACAUUUUCUUUACUUCUGACAAUCUUUGCUCAUACGAGCACAAACAAUCGA